Molecule: non-coding RNA, 1135 nt
Organism: Prunus avium (sweet cherry)
Lineage: Eukaryota; Viridiplantae; Streptophyta; Magnoliopsida; Rosales; Rosaceae
Source: RefSeq, a predicted model, not a curated record
CUUAGGGUUUUUUAUUUCUUCGUUUUUUCCUCCCCUCCCAUCCCAUUACGUUUCUUCCUCCCCUUUCGUUUCAUACUCAGCCAGCCGCCACCGAUUCCAAACCUCUCUCUCAGCCAUCACGUCACGCCUCUCUCUACCGCCGCUCUUCUCUCAGCCUCUCUCAGUCGCCGUCGUCACGCAGCAAAUCGGAGAUUCCAUUCGCUCGCAGCGUCCACCUCUUCGUCUCGCAUAGCUCUCUGUAUCUGUCUCUCUCUCAGAUGGUCGUUACCAGAUUGGAAUCUACACUGUACGAGGAAUUCAAUAUGGGGAGGAGAUCACAUUCGACUACAAUUCUGUUACAGAGAGUAAGGAAGAAUACGAAGCAUCAGUUUGUUUGUGUGGCAGCCAAGUUUGCCGGGGAAGCUACUUGAAUUUGACAGGCAAAGGAACUUUUCAAAAGGUGCUGAAGGACUGCCAGAUUGGGUGAUUGCAUAUUCGGCUCGCUUGGUGAGGUUUAUAAAUUUUGAAAGAACAAAGCUUCCUGAGGAGAUUUUAAAGCAUAAUUUGGAAGAAAAAAGGAAGUAUUUUUCAGAUAUUUAUCUUGAGGUUGAGAAGAGCGAUGCUGAGGUUCAGGCUGAGGGUGUUUACAACCAAAGGCUUCAGAAUUUGGCUGUUACUCUUGAUAAGGUGAUUACCUUUUUCCAAUUUAUAAAGGAGCUUGUCAUCCUUUUGUUUCUUUAUCACUUUGUUAAAUACUUGUUAAAGUAAUUUAGUGGAUACCUUUUGUACUGAGAGUUGUGCUCAAGCACAUUGUCUUGAGGUUGUGGUUUGGUAGCCAAAGAGGAGUGGACCUUGUUGUUAGAGACAUGAGAGAAGCAGUGUAUGUUAUCAAAAUGCGCAAGCAGGUUUCUAGAGUGUUGUUUUUAUUUUCUACAAAUUCAGGUUAUUGAUGGCAAUACAUGGAUCUGCUAGGUUCACUUGGUGUACUCGGUUUUCUGAGAUGCGGCAACAAAAGAACAAAAGAAUGGAGUUAUAAUUUUAAAUUUGAUUGUAAUAUAAUUUGUUUUAUUAUGUGUAUUUUCUUGUUGGUUGUAAUUUUAAAUUUUAUAUUGGAUUGUUUUAUUAUUUUUGUCAAAGAAUGGUGGUUGUUUCAAUA